GAUGAACGCUGGCGGCGUGCCUAAUACAUGCAAGUCGAGCGAACGGACGAGAAGCUUGCUUCUCUGAUGUUAGCGGCGGACGGGUGAGUAACACGUGGAUAACCUACCUAUAAGACUGGGAUAAAUUCGGGAAACCGGAGCUAAUACCGGAUGAUAUUUUGAACCGCAUGGUUCAAAAGUGAAAGACGGUCUUGCUGUCACUUAUAGAUGGAUCCGCGCUGCAUUAGCUAGUUGGUAAGGUAACGGCUUCCUAAGGCAACGAUGCAUAGCCGACCUGAGAGGGUGAUCGGCCACACUGGAACUGAGACACGGUCCAGACUCCUACGGGAGGCAGCAGUAGGGAAUCUUCCGCAAUGGGCGAAAGCCUGACGGAGCAACGCCGCGUGAGUGAUGAAGGUCUUCGGAUCGUAAAACUCUGUUAUUAGGGAAGAACAUAUGUGUAAGUAACUGUGCACAUCUUGACGGUACCUAAUCAGAAAGCCACGGCUAACUACGUG
This 497-nucleotide ribosomal RNA is filed under the name uncultured bacterium. RNAcentral describes it as "partial 16S ribosomal RNA". It matches the Rfam family "Bacterial small subunit ribosomal RNA", at positions 28 to 507 of the family's 1533-position model. The record is from RNAcentral.